RNAcentral lists this transfer RNA (72 nucleotides) under Camelus bactrianus (Bactrian camel). It matches the Rfam family "tRNA". From Rfam's summary of the family: Transfer RNA (tRNA) molecules are approximately 80 nucleotides in length. Their secondary structure includes four short double-helical elements and three loops (D, anti-codon, and T loops). The record is from Rfam by way of RNAcentral. Lineage: Eukaryota; Metazoa; Chordata; Mammalia; Artiodactyla; Camelidae. RNAcentral also lists the same sequence under 3 other names.
GUGGGUACAGCUCAGUGGUAGAGCACAUGCUUAGCAUGCAUGAGGUCCUGGGUUCAAUACCCAGUACCUCCA